UACGUAGGUCCCGAGCGUUGUCCGGAUUUAUUGGGCGUAAAGCGAGCGUAGGUGGUUUAUUAAGUCUGGUGUAAAAGGCAGUGGCUCAACCAUUGUAUGCAUUGGAAACUGGUAGACUUGAGUGCAGGAGAGGGGAGUGGAAUUCCAUGUGUAGCGGUGAAAUGCGUAGAUAUAUGGAGGAACACCGGUGGCGAAAGCGGCUCUCUGGCCUGUAACUGACACUGAGGCUCGAAAGCGUGGGGAGCAAACAGG
Molecule: ribosomal RNA, 252 nt
Filed under: uncultured bacterium
Lineage: Bacteria
Description: partial 16S ribosomal RNA
Rfam family: Bacterial small subunit ribosomal RNA
Source: RNAcentral